CGGCUGGCGGCGUGCCUAAUACAUGCAAGUAGAACGCUGAAGGAGGAGCUUGCUUCUCUGGAUGAGUUGCGAACGGGUGAGUAACGCGUAGGUAACCUGCCUGGUAGCGGGGGAUAACUAUUGGAAACGAUAGCUAAUACCGCAUAAUAGUAGAUGUUGCAUGACAUUUGCUUAAAAGGUGCAAUUGCACCACUACCAGAUGGACCUGCGUUGUAUUAGCUAGUUGGUGAGGUAACGGCUCACCAAGGCGACGAUACAUAGCCGACCUGAGAGGGUGAUCGGCCACACUGGGACUGAGACACGGCCCAGACUCCUACGGGAGGCAGCAGUAGGGAAUCUUCGGCAAUGGACGGAAGUCUGACCGAGCAACGCCGCGUGAGUGAAGAAGGUUUUCGGAUCGUAAAGCUCUGUUGUAAGAGAAGAACGAGUGUGAGAGUGGAAAGUUCACACUGUGACGGUAUCUUACCAGAAAGGGACGGCUAACUACGUG
Molecule: ribosomal RNA, 490 nt
Filed under: uncultured bacterium
Lineage: Bacteria
Description: bacterial SSU rRNA
Rfam family: Bacterial small subunit ribosomal RNA
Source: RNAcentral